CCCAGAGGAGGUGCGAAGCACUUAACCUUUGCUCAUUAGGUCUCUAAUUGCCGUUGUGUUAAUUGCAUGCCAGUCUCGUAAAUUAGCCGCCCUUCCUAAGUGAGAGACCUAGGAAGGGCGGCUGAUUCGUGAGACUAACCAACAAGCUGAAAGACAUCAUGCAAGACAGCCUGGAGCAAAGAGCUUGCCAUCAAUAGAAUCAUGUCAGGGAACACUCCAAAACAACCAGCUAUAAGAAGCCAUCAUCUAUGAGAAGUUAUAUCCAGGACCAUGCAUGUACCACAGCAGAAGAGCCUGAGGCCUCCUUUUACAAUGUAUAUACGUAUAAAGUGGACCGUACAUGCAUGCUACAUGCAACAAAGGCCAGCUAUUGAGAAGCCUGGCCAAAAUCUCAUCCGCCCUGUGUUCGACUGUGGGAAGGAGCAGCUCAAUACUUGACUGAAAGUGGUCGCAAAGCAGCUAGGCUAAACGCACAAUUAAUGUGCAUGUGACGCUCAUUCAACUCUAAAAUGAUCUUGUUGUUGCCAAACCAGUUCAAGAUACGACAAGAAAUGAAGAUUUUGAUGAGCUCGAGCAUUCUUCCUCAUUAGUAUUCACACCUGCAAGCCUCGAUUGUCAGUAAUGAUUUCAGAAGAACCAGAUGUGCAUGCUUCUCGAGAUUACGAGAACGCAACGGAAAGAUGGAAUUAUUCUACUUGCUUAUAACUAUAGGAUGUUGAGGUCAGUACUCAGUCUGUACAUAGGAGGUCAGAGCCAAGUGGUAUGACCUGCAUGAGAUUGAGCUGCUGGAGUCCAGUUGGCAUGCACUAUACCUUGUGAUUUGUGGACAGCCUCAUCAGGGGACCGGACCCACAGGAACACAUUAUGCCUUUCCUGCAUGUAGCCUUGCACUGUAGGGUGUCGUUAAGUGGAGACUUGGCUUGAUACAAUAUUAAAAGCCAAAAGGGCGUAAGAACUCAGUCAUCUUUGCACAAUUCUUCUAUGUAACGGAUUACAACUUCAGAAUACAAAAUAGUAUACUGUUUAAAUUA
Halichondria panicea is the source of this 1031-nucleotide long non-coding RNA. RefSeq lists it as uncharacterized. NCBI's taxonomy places the organism in Eukaryota, Metazoa, Porifera, Demospongiae, Suberitida, Halichondriidae. The transcript is spliced from 5 exons. The record is from RefSeq and is a predicted model, not a curated record.